This 253-nucleotide ribosomal RNA is filed under the name uncultured Weissella sp. RNAcentral describes it as "partial 16S ribosomal RNA". It matches the Rfam family "Bacterial small subunit ribosomal RNA", at positions 524 to 776 of the family's 1533-position model. Lineage: Bacteria; Bacillati; Bacillota; Bacilli; Lactobacillales; Lactobacillaceae. The record is from RNAcentral.
UACGGAGGGUGCAAGCGUUAUCCGGAUUUAUUGGGCGUAAAGCGAGCGCAGACGGUUAUUUAAGUCCGAAGUGAAAGCCCACAGCUUAACUGUGGAAGUGCUUUGGAAACUGGAUAACUUGAGUGCAGUAGAGGAGAGUGGAACUCCAUGUGUAGCGGUGAAAUGCGUAGAUAUAUGGAAGAACACCAGUGGCGAAGGCGGCUCUCUGGACUGUAACUGACGUUGAGGCUCGAAAGUGUGGGUAGCAAACAGG